UACGUAGGGUGCAAGCGUUGUCCGGAAUUACUGGGCGUAAAGGGCGCGUAGGCGGCCUGUUAAGUCGAACGUGAAAUCCCCGGGCUCAACCCGGGAACUGCGUCCGAUACUGGCAGGCUUGAAUCCGGGAGAGGGAUGCGGAAUUCCAGGUGUAGCGGUGAAAUGCGUAGAUAUCUGGAGGAACACCGGUGGCGAAGGCGGCAUCCUGGACCGGUAUUGACGCUGAGGCGCGAAAGCCAGGGGAGCAAACGGG
RNAcentral lists this ribosomal RNA (253 nucleotides) under uncultured bacterium. RNAcentral's name for it is "partial 16S ribosomal RNA". It matches the Rfam family "Bacterial small subunit ribosomal RNA", at positions 524 to 776 of the family's 1533-position model. The record is from RNAcentral.